Molecule: ribosomal RNA, 17 nt
Filed under: Occidozyga laevis
Lineage: Eukaryota; Metazoa; Chordata; Amphibia; Anura; Dicroglossidae
Description: partial 12S small subunit ribosomal RNA
Source: RNAcentral
AAGGUGCCCUUGGAUAG